Molecule: non-coding RNA, 749 nt
Filed under: Lucullia flavovittata
Lineage: Eukaryota; Metazoa; Arthropoda; Insecta; Hemiptera; Coreidae
Source: RNAcentral
AAAUAGUAUUAAAUACAAGUUUUUGCGUGAUAUUUUUAUUUUCUUAAAGAUUUUAAAUUUUGUUUUAUUUGUAGUUUUUAAUGUUGAAUAUCAAAUAAUUUUGGGUUCAGUUAAUUUACUGUAGAAUUGUUUAAGGUUGUGCCAGCAAACGCGGUUAUACAAUCAAUUCUAAUUAAUUUUUUUGGUUAUUUAUUUAUUUAUUUAUUUUGAAGAUUUAUUUUUGUUUAUUAGGUGAAAUUUUAAUUUAUUAUAUAUUCUUUGGGUUUAAGAUUAUAAUAAGGUUAGGAAAUAAACUAGGAUUAGAUACCCUAUUAUUCUAAUUGUGAAUGUUUAACCAUAGUAUUAGUAGUUAAGGUCUUUAAAUUAAAAGGAUUUGGCGGUAAUUUAGUCUUUUCAGAGGAACCUGUUCUGUAAUUGAUGAUCCACGUUGGAUUUAACUUUAAUUUAUUGUUUGUAUAUCUCUGUCAUUGAAUGUUUUAAUAGAAUAUUUUCAUUUAAUUAUUAAUUUAAUUAAUGUCAGGUCAAGGUGCAGCUAUAUUAAAGGUUGAAAUGGGUUACAUUUAAUUUUAUUAAUUGGAUUAUAUUUGUUGUAUAUAAUAUUUUAUGAAAAAGGAUUUGAAAGUAAUUUUUUUUAUUUAAUAAAAAUGAUUUUAGCUCUAAAUUAUGUACACAUCGCCCGUCGUUCUCGUUAUUAAGAUGAGAUAAGUCGUAACAAAGUAAUUUUACCGGAAGGUGAAGUUGGAAUUAUA